GUGGGGAAUAUUGGGCAAUGGACGCAAGUCUGACCCAGCAACGCCGCGUGAAGGAAGAAGGCUUUCGGGUUGUAAACUUCUUUUAAGGGGGAAGAGCAGAAGACGGUACCCCUUGAAUAAGCCACGGCUAACUACGUGCCAGCAGCCGCGGUAAUACGUAGGUGGCAAGCGUUGUCCGGAUUUACUGGGUGUAAAGGGCGUGCAGCCGGAGAGGCAAGUCAGAUGUGAAAUCCGCGGGCUCAACCCGCGAACUGCAUUUGAAACUGCUUCCCUUGAGUAUCGGAGAGGUAACCGGAAUUCCUAGUGUAGCGGUGAAAUGCGUAGAUAUUAGGAAGAACACCAGUGGCGAAGGCGGGUUACUGGACGACAACUGACGGUGAGGCGCGAAAGCGUGGGGAGCAAACAGGA
Molecule: ribosomal RNA, 408 nt
Filed under: uncultured bacterium
Lineage: Bacteria
Description: bacterial SSU rRNA
Rfam family: Bacterial small subunit ribosomal RNA
Source: RNAcentral